RNAcentral lists this long non-coding RNA (296 nucleotides) under Elaeis guineensis (African oil palm). RNAcentral describes it as "long non-coding RNA (EGUI_LNC033160)". The record is from RNAcentral. Lineage: Eukaryota; Viridiplantae; Streptophyta; Magnoliopsida; Arecales; Arecaceae.
CUUCUGGAUCCACUUUUAGUGUGGGAGAAAGAGUUAAUUGAUCCUUAUUAUUCUAAAUUGAGUAUAGAAACUGUGGAAGCCCUCAAAUGUGGAGGAGACUAGAUCAAAAACUUGUAUGGACUGAGGGGAAAAGUAAAGGUUGUAAGUUCAUUCUAUUUAAAUUCUAGUAUAUAGCUUUCAAUUUGACUUCAACUCUUUUUGUAUUGAUUACUUUGAAUACAAGUUAUGUGUGCAUAUCUUACUUUGAGUUUUAAUAGAGGGUUGUUUACUUUGUAGGAGUAAAAUGAUGAUGAGCC